UACGUAGGGGGCGAGCGUUGUUCGGAAUUACUGGGCGUAAAGGGCUCGUAGGCGGCCAACUAAGUCGGACGUGAAAUCCCUCAGCUUAACUGGGGAACUGCGUCCGAUACUGGAUGGCUUGGAUUUGGGAGAGGGAUGCGGAAUUCCAGGUGUAGCGGUGAAAUGCGUAGAUAUCCGGAGGAACACCGGUGGCGAAGGCGGCUUCCUGGACCGACACUGACGCUGAGGCGCGAAAGCUAGGGGAGCAAACGGG
Molecule: ribosomal RNA, 253 nt
Filed under: uncultured bacterium
Lineage: Bacteria
Description: partial 16S ribosomal RNA
Rfam family: Bacterial small subunit ribosomal RNA
Source: RNAcentral